Molecule: ribosomal RNA, 495 nt
Filed under: uncultured bacterium
Lineage: Bacteria
Description: partial 16S ribosomal RNA
Rfam family: Bacterial small subunit ribosomal RNA
Source: RNAcentral
ACGAACGCUGGCGGCGUGCCUAAUACAUGCAAGUAGAACGCUGAAGAGAGGAGCUUGCUCUUCUUGGAUGAGUUGCGAACGGGUGAGUAACGCGUAGGUAACCUGCCUUGUAGCGGGGGAUAACUAUUGGAAACGAUAGCUAAUACCGCAUAACAAUGGAUGACACAUGUCAUUUAUUUGAAAGGGGCAAUUGCUCCACUACAAGAUGGACCUGCGUUGUAUUAGCUAGUAGGUGAGGUAAUGGCUCACCUAGGCGACGAUACAUAGCCGACCUGAGAGGGUGAUCGGCCACACUGGGACUGAGACACGGCCCAGACUCCUACGGGAGGCAGCAGUAGGGAAUCUUCGGCAAUGGGGGCAACCCUGACCGAGCAACGCCGCGUGAGUGAAGAAGGUUUUCGGAUCGUAAAGCUCUGUUGUAAGUCAAGAACGGGUGUGAGAGUGGAAAGUUCACACUGUGACGGUAGCUUACCAGAAAAGGACGGCUAACUACGU